CCUACGGGUGGCAGCAGUAGGGAAUCUUGCUCAAUGGGGGAAACUCUGAAGCAGCAACGCCGCGUGGAGGAUGAAGGUUUUCGGAUUGUAAACUCCUUUUGUUAGAGAAGAUAAUGACGGUAUCUAACGAAUAAGCACCGUCUAACUCCGUGCCAGCAGCCGCGGUAAUACGGAGGGUGCAAGCGUUACUCGGAAUCACUGGGCGUAAAGAGCGCGUAGGCGGGAUAGCAAGUCAGAUGUGAAAUCCUAGGGCUUAACCAUAGAACUGCAUUUGAAACUGUUAUUCUAGAGUAUGGGAGAGGUAGGUGGAAUUCUUGGUGUAGGGGUAAAAUCCGUAGAGAUCAAGAGGAAUACUCAUUGCGAAGGCGACCUGCUAGAACGUAACUGACGCUGAUGCGCGAAAGCGUGGGGAGCAAACAGGAUUAGAUACCCUUGUAGUC
RNAcentral lists this ribosomal RNA (440 nucleotides) under uncultured bacterium. RNAcentral describes it as "partial 16S ribosomal RNA". It matches the Rfam family "Bacterial small subunit ribosomal RNA", at positions 338 to 795 of the family's 1533-position model. The record is from RNAcentral.